Molecule: unclassified non-coding RNA, 325 nt
Filed under: Zea mays
Lineage: Eukaryota; Viridiplantae; Streptophyta; Magnoliopsida; Poales; Poaceae
Description: misc RNA Zm00001eb059280
Source: RNAcentral
GCUCGGUCUUCGUUCUUGCCUUCCCAGCCUGUUGCUCCCGCGCGGUCGUUCCCGUCUUCAGCACAUUCUCCUUCUGGAGAUGGAAAGGGUAGUGGUCUUCAUUGUCAUCAUUGCGGACGUGGACAGGAUGGACAUGUGGAAUCUUUCUGUUACAAGAAAAAGAAUCAACGGCUUGCUCGUCGUUCUUCACAUACUACUAGUAGUUCUAGUGCUGCAGGUUCUCAGAGGAGUUCUACUAAUGCAGCUACCCAGGGGAUGCUCAUGCUCUGUCGCCUUGCUGUCUCUACACCACCGGGAGCCGCUGGUUCAGUAACUCAGUUUUCCG